This 201-nucleotide ribosomal RNA is filed under the name uncultured bacterium. Its description in RNAcentral is "partial 16S ribosomal RNA". It matches the Rfam family "Bacterial small subunit ribosomal RNA", at positions 1300 to 1500 of the family's 1533-position model. The record is from RNAcentral.
GCAGGCUGAAAUUACGCCUGCAUGAAGCCGGAAUUGCUAGUAAUGGCAGGUCAGCAUACUGCCGUGAAUACGUUCCCGGGCCUUGUACACACCGCCCGUCACACCAUGAGAGUUGGGAAUACCCGAAGCCUGUGAGCUAACUUUUAGAGGCAGCAGUCGAAGGUAGAAUCAAUGAUUGGGGUGAAGUCGUAACAAGGUAUC